Molecule: small RNA, 108 nt
Filed under: Marmota monax (woodchuck)
Lineage: Eukaryota; Metazoa; Chordata; Mammalia; Rodentia; Sciuridae
Source: RNAcentral
GCUGGGUGCAGUGGCACACGCCUGUAAUCCUGGUGGCUCAGGAGGCUGAGGCAGGAGGAUUGCAAAGUUCAAAGCCAACCUCAGCAACUAAGCAAGACCCUGUCUCAA